CCCAAAAAACCGAAGAUAUAUGUUCAAGCAGCGUCUGUUUCGAUUGAUCUUUUGCUGCGCCAAAAAAGCGCCCGAGGAGAAAAAAAACUUCUGUCAUCAUUUAUUUCGCUCCGGUACCCCGUUUUUUCAUACUCUUCCCUUUCGUCUUGGUCUGACAGACCAAAGGAUGAAGCCCCAGAGGACAACGAAACCAGGAAGGCAGGAGGGGCGGGGGGCAGCGGAGAGAAAAAAUUUACAUGAAACGCGUUUCUCCUCGCGAGUGUUUCUUCCAGCUCUGGCUGCAUACACGUGAGCCUGACAUAAAUUGAAACGUCAGGAGAGAGGAAGAUGGGGAAGAGAGUGAGAGAGAGAGAGCGAGAGCGAGAGAGCAGGAAGAGCACGACGGGGGGAGAAUUGUGCGUGGAAGUUGGUCGCCCAGAAGGACUACCGUUUCGCUCACAUGUCAUCGAAGCAAACGAAGAAAGAGACAGAGAAAUUUAACGUUGAAGUUCAUCAGUCAUUCCCACGGACAUGGAAUCAUUGCAAGAUAUCUCCACUCCCAGCUUCAUAUCUCGAAAUAGUUUGCUUCAACGAAGAUUCGGUUUGAACGACAGAAACCGUCAUGCGGCGACGAUCGCAUCGACGUCAUUGACGGUCAAAGUUUUCCGACGACCCCGGAAUGUUCCCUCUCCGUACCCCUGGCCGGGUCAAAGACUUGAGAUUAUGACAGUUGGCGCGCUCUUCUGUGAAGUUGAAUCGCACAAUUUGGUGAAAAGAACUCGAAUUUACGAUGCGGCAAACGGAAGAUCGAAAGCUCAACGGAUGCGUUUAAUACGAUGAUCCGUCGACUAUUGAAAUCCACGUAUCUUAAUGCAGAUCAUGUCUGUAGGCUAAAACACUAUAGUUUUACGUAAAAAAUCAACAAAGAGAAAGAAAUGGAUCGAGAGAAAAAAGUGUUAAUAAAAAGACAGAUGGCGAUGACAGGAAUGAGCCGAGCCAAGAAGAAACAAAAUACCGAAAUGAGCAAAUGUCACGUUAUCAAAGAAAACCGUAAUUUGGGGCGAUCAAGAUGAAAGGAACAUUAAUGAGUGUGAAAAUAAAUAAAAAAAAAAUAAAAAAAAAACAAUUAUUUGUAGGAUUCCAAGCGAUCCUGGUCGACUGAAAUGUUGAUUUCUCUCGAGCCUGCUGUCAGCAUCGCACUUUUACGAAAACACAAAUUAAGUUUUCAGCUAAAGUUGCGUGCUCACCUGGAAAUAAUCGAAUUGACGAAGAGAUCAAUUUCGAUAGGAACAACAAUUAUUUGAGAGAAUAAUGAGAGCGACGAGUCGACAAAAGUUUCUGCGUCGGAGGAUGCGAUAAGUGCGAAAAUCGACGAAGAAAAAUGAAGAAUGUGGAGACUUUCGCGUAGCCGACUUAUCGUCGGGCACAUGCUGAGAUCGCGAGCAAAGACUGGCGAUGGCGCACAUGGAGUGCCAGAUGGUCCGCAAACGUUUCAUUCCAUACGUUUGAUGUGCGGAUAUAAUGCGAAAGGAAUGAAAUUCGUGAGUCUGCGCGCAAGUAUGCGAUGCAAAAAUCGUCGGUUGUUAUGAAAACAAAUGUAUGUGCGCACACACGUGCUCUUUAUUGCGACGCUCCAAUUUACACGAGAAAGCUCUUCUGAUGCACAUUCGUAAAUGAAAUUCACGCAUCAAUAAAACAUCUUAAAUUGUCCGGAAUCGCUGAGACAACAUGGAGCUUUUCAAUAUGUUCAAGUACGAACAUUAAGAAACGACUUUCACAUUAUUAGUAGAGAAAGGUAAAGCGAAAGAAACUGACCAAAUUAUUGAUGAAUAUAUUGUGCAAAAAUAAAGAAAAACGUACAUUAAAAACAAAGGAGUUAAUCAAAAUACACAACUAAUUUUUUAUCACUUUUACUUUACUCACUUUUCGUACAGAAAAAUGGGGGGAAGACAGGUCCAAAAAAAAGAUGGGUGUGCUCAUCUGCUGAUAAAAUCUGUGGAGUGG
This 1983-nucleotide long non-coding RNA is filed under the name Venturia canescens. RNAcentral describes it as "uncharacterized LOC122407005". Lineage: Eukaryota; Metazoa; Arthropoda; Insecta; Hymenoptera; Ichneumonidae. The record is from RNAcentral.